AUUGAACGCUGGCGGCAUGCCUUACACAUGCAAGUCGAACGGCAGCACGGGGCAACCUGGUGGCGAGUGGCGAACGGGUGAGUAAUGCAUCGGAACGUGCCAUUGAGUGGGGGAUAACGUAGCGAAAGUUGCGCUAAUACCGCAUAUUCUGUGAGCAGGAAAGCAGGGGACCGCAAGGCCUUGCGCUCUUUGAGCGGCCGAUGUCAGAUUAGCUAGUUGGUGAGGUAACGGCUUACCAAGGCGACGAUCUGUAGCGGGUCUGAGAGGAUGAUCCGCCACACUGGAACUGAGACACGGUCCAGACUCCUACGGGAGGCAGCAGUGGGAAUUUUGGACAAUGGGCGCAAGCCUGAUCCAGCCAUGCCGCGUGAGUGAA
This 376-nucleotide ribosomal RNA is filed under the name uncultured bacterium. RNAcentral describes it as "bacterial SSU rRNA". It matches the Rfam family "Bacterial small subunit ribosomal RNA", at positions 30 to 409 of the family's 1533-position model. The record is from RNAcentral.